RNAcentral lists this unclassified non-coding RNA (746 nucleotides) under Drosophila virilis. RNAcentral's name for it is "GJ15241". The record is from RNAcentral. Lineage: Eukaryota; Metazoa; Arthropoda; Insecta; Diptera; Drosophilidae.
UUUGCAUGUGUAUACAUGCAUGUGCAUAUGUAUACGUACAUAUGUAUGCAUGUAUAGCCGCCACAUAUCGGACAGCAGACGACAGAUACCAGGAAUCAGACAAUAGCCGCCACAAGAGAGACAAACAUUUUGGGCGACAAAAAUUUCGACACUACGGUUUUUUUUUCGUAUUUAUUUUAUUUUUUGUUGUUUUCUUGAAUUCGUUUCAAAAAAUUUCGAACGUGUGCGUGUGUGUGUGUGUGUGUCCGUGUGCGUGUUUUUAUUAAGCUACAUUUCCAUCCAGAAUAUUUAAUUGAAAUCGUCUGCCGCCAGAUUCAAUUCGCUUUGAAUAUGAAAUAUGAAAUGAAAUCAAUUUGACUUGUAAUAUGCACAUGCGUGACCAGAAAUAACAUACACACACACAGAGAUACACACACAAACACACACACAUAGACACACACACACAGACACACACACACGCACACACUCAAUCAUAGUGAAUAACUUGAAAGUUUUGUGACGUCAAAAUUGAAAUUAAAAUUUAUAAACGUAAUCGACAACUGCCGAAAAUAUUUACAAAACAAGACAAACUGAGUGCAUAAAUAAUAUCUUUAUAUGUACAUACAUAUAUACAUAUACAUACAUACAUACGUAUCUGAACUAAAUCAAGACCAGAGAAGUGAACAAUCAAAAUAAUAAACAAAAAGCGUUAAGAAUACACACACAUACAUAUUUAUGUGUGUAUAUGACAGAGUUUAACGACAUUC